CUUCUGUAGGGUAUUUUUAUUCUCUCUUCAGCCCUUUUUUUUUUUAAUUUUCUUUCCCUGAGCACCGACCGCCACAAAAAAGAAAUUUCCAGACGCGCUUGGACCGUUAGCCGCUCGUGCCCCUCCACCAUCCGAAAAGGAUAUCUGUGCCCCCCCGCUCUCUCUCUCUCUCUCUUGGUGAGUCAGUUACCUUCGAGAUUUUUUACGGCGAAUCUGAAGUUCGAAAUUAGGAGAGGUUUGGGGGGGGAUCAGGUCCGGAUGCCAUCCACGAAUUGCCGACAAUUGGUGUCCACGGACGCUCUAAAAUACUAAAAUUCGGCAGGCGCCCAACCCGCGUGGUAUUGGAUGAUUGAGACCUGAAAAUUAGAUACCUGCUCACAGAUAGGACGACGUGGGCGAGUUUAUGCCCAUCGAAGUCCAACCCAACAAAAACAAAAAUCUAAAAGAGAAAUUCUUUGCACACCACUAGCGAU
Molecule: long non-coding RNA, 473 nt
Filed under: Elaeis guineensis (African oil palm)
Lineage: Eukaryota; Viridiplantae; Streptophyta; Magnoliopsida; Arecales; Arecaceae
Description: long non-coding RNA (EGUI_LNC010981)
Source: RNAcentral